UGUUACACCGGAGCACUAAGG
This is a non-coding RNA of Caenorhabditis elegans, 21 nucleotides long. The record is from Ensembl. Lineage: Eukaryota; Metazoa; Nematoda; Chromadorea; Rhabditida; Rhabditidae.